RNAcentral lists this ribosomal RNA (459 nucleotides) under uncultured bacterium. RNAcentral's name for it is "partial 16S ribosomal RNA". It matches the Rfam family "Bacterial small subunit ribosomal RNA", at positions 338 to 795 of the family's 1533-position model. The record is from RNAcentral.
CCUACGGGAGGCAGCAGUGAGGAAUAUUGGUCAAUGGGCGAUAUCCUGAACCAGCCAAGUCGCGUGAGGGAUGACUGCCCUAUGGGUUGUAAACUUCUUUUGUCGGGGAAUAAAAUCCAGGACGUGUCCUGCUCUGCAUGUACCCGAUGAAUAAGCAUCGGCUAACUCCGUGCCAGCAGCCGCGGUAAUACGGAGGAUCCGAGCGUUAUCCGGUUUUAUUGGGUUUAAGGGGGGCGUAGGGGGUCGGUUAAGUCAGUGGUAAAAUUUGGGGGCUCAACCCCAUAGUGCCGUUGAAACUGGCAGACUUGAGUUGGCGAGAAGUACGCGGAAUGCGUGGUGUAGCGGUGAAAUGCAUAGAUAUCGCGAAGAACUCCGAUUGCGAAGGCAGCCUACUGGCGCGAAACUGACGCUGAGGCACGAAAGCGUGGGGAUCGAACAGGAUUAGAUACCCUAGUAGUC